AGCUUGCUACCUGACCUAGCGGCGGACGGGUGAGUAAUGCUUAGGAAUCUGCCUAUUAGUGGGGGACAACAUUCCGAAAGGAAUGCUAAUACCGCAUACGCCCUACGGGGGAAAGCAGGGGAUCUUCGGACCUUGCGCUAAUAGAUGAGCCUAAGUCAGAUUAGCUAGUUGGUGGGGUAAAGGCCUACCAAGGCGACGAUCUGUAGCGGGUCUGAGAGGAUGAUCCGCCACACUGGGACUGAGACACGGCCCAGACUCCUACGGGAGGCAGCAGUGGGGAAUAUUGGACAAUGGGCGAAAGCCUGAUCCAGCCAUGCCGCGUGUGUGAAGAAGGCCUUUUGGUUGUAAAGCACUUUAAGCGAGGAGGAGGCUACUUAGAUUAAUACUCUAGGAUAGUGGACGUUACUCGCAGAAUAAGCACCGGCUAACUCUGUGCCAGCAGCCGCGGUAAUACAGAGGGUGCGAGCGUUAAUCGGAUUUACUGGGCGUAAAGCGUGCGUAGGCGGCUUUUUAAGUCGGAUGUGAAAUCCCUGAGCUUAACU
Molecule: ribosomal RNA, 542 nt
Filed under: Acinetobacter johnsonii
Lineage: Bacteria; Pseudomonadati; Pseudomonadota; Gammaproteobacteria; Moraxellales; Moraxellaceae
Description: bacterial SSU rRNA
Rfam family: Bacterial small subunit ribosomal RNA
Source: RNAcentral